UUUGUGCAACUCAUAGGAAAUCCAAUUUCAAUGACAACAAAAUUAGGCGCAGCGGAGUUUGAAGUACAAGGCCCUGAAACAAAUACCCUCAAAAUGAAGC
Molecule: long non-coding RNA, 100 nt
Organism: Rhipicephalus sanguineus (brown dog tick)
Lineage: Eukaryota; Metazoa; Arthropoda; Arachnida; Ixodida; Ixodidae
Exons: 3
Source: RefSeq, a predicted model, not a curated record